Molecule: ribosomal RNA, 231 nt
Filed under: uncultured bacterium
Lineage: Bacteria
Description: partial 16S ribosomal RNA
Rfam family: Bacterial small subunit ribosomal RNA
Source: RNAcentral
UGGGUGAUCUGCCCUGCACUUUGGGAUAAGCCUGGGAAACUGGGUCUAAUACCGGAUAUACCUCAUGGACUGCAUGGUUUGUGGGGGAAAGCUUUUGCGGUGUGGGAUGGGCCCGCGGCCUAUCAGCUUGUUGGUGAGGUUACGGCUCACCAAGGCGGCGACGGGUAGCCGGCCUGAGAGGGUGACCGGCCACACUGGGACUGAGACACGGCCCAGACUCCUACGGGAGCA